GACUUUGUGGUGUAAUUGGAAGAGCAUACUUAACUCAUACUCAAGAGAUCCAGGGUUGGAGUCCCAGUGAGGGCA
RNAcentral lists this transfer RNA (75 nucleotides) under Stegodyphus mimosarum. It matches the Rfam family "tRNA". Rfam says of the family: Transfer RNA (tRNA) molecules are approximately 80 nucleotides in length. Their secondary structure includes four short double-helical elements and three loops (D, anti-codon, and T loops). Lineage: Eukaryota; Metazoa; Arthropoda; Arachnida; Araneae; Eresidae. The record is from Rfam by way of RNAcentral.